GCCGGAAUAGCUCAGUCGGUAGAGCGAGGGCCUGAAAAGCCCUGCGUCAUCAGUUCAAUUCUGAUUUCCGGCACCA
This 76-nucleotide transfer RNA is filed under the name Candidatus Orphnella occulta. RNAcentral describes it as "tRNA-Phe". It matches the Rfam family "tRNA". From Rfam's summary of the family: Transfer RNA (tRNA) molecules are approximately 80 nucleotides in length. Their secondary structure includes four short double-helical elements and three loops (D, anti-codon, and T loops). Lineage: Bacteria; Pseudomonadati; Candidatus Omnitrophota. The record is from RNAcentral.